This 203-nucleotide unclassified non-coding RNA is filed under the name Hevea brasiliensis (rubber tree). The record is from RNAcentral. Lineage: Eukaryota; Viridiplantae; Streptophyta; Magnoliopsida; Malpighiales; Euphorbiaceae.
UGGAGAAGUUGACUUCACCGUUAUGCAUCUCUCUUCAAACACAGCUUCUUUUCCGACAUCAUGGGACUUCUCUAGCAGCCAACCGUGCAUUGGAAAUGGUGCCCGCCAGUGUUCAGCAUUCACAACAAAUGCUUCAUCAGAGAAAACGUGGACAAUGCGCACUACUUUUCCGGAAUAUGUUGUUGCUCUUGCCACUAUUGUUG